The sequence is a ribosomal RNA, 1523 nucleotides long. It matches the Rfam family "Bacterial small subunit ribosomal RNA".
GGAGAGUUUGAUCCUGGCUCAGGAUGAACGCUAGCGGCAGGCUUAAUACAUGCAAGUCGAACGGCAGCACAGUGUAGCAAUACAUGGGUGGCGAGUGGCGCACGGGUGCGUAACACGUAUGCAAUUUGCCCAUAACUGGGGGAUAGCCUUCCGAAAGGAAGAUUAAUACCCCAUAACCCAGCGAGGUGGCAUCACUUUUCUGGUAAAUCUCCGGAGGUUAUGGAUGAGCAUGCGUCCGAUUAGCUAGUUGGUGAGGUAACGGCUCACCAAGGCAACGAUCGGUAGGGGGUCUGAGAGGAUGAUCCCCCACACGGGUACUGAGACACGGACCCGACUCCUACGGGAGGCAGCAGUAAGGAAUAUUGGACAAUGGAGGCAACUCUGAUCCAGCCAUGCCGCGUGAAGGAUGAAGGCCCUACGGGUUGUAAACUUCUUUUCUCUUAGAAAAAACUACUGGUUUCGUACCGGUACUGAUUGUACAAGAGGAAUAAGCAUCGGCUAACUUCGUGCCAGCAGCCGCGGUAAUACGAAGGAUGCAAGCGUUAUCCGGAUUCACUGGGUUUAAAGGGUGUGCAGGUGGGGUAAUAAGUCAGUGGUGAAAGCCCCCGACUCAAUCGGGGAACUGCCAUAGAUACUGUUAUUCUUGAGUGUAGUUGAGGCAGAUGGAAUAUGACAUGUAGCGGUGAAAUGCUUAGAUAUGUCAUAGAACACCGAUCGCGAAGGCAGUCUGCCAAACUAUUACUGACACUGAAACACGAAAGUGCGGGGAUCAAACAGGAUUAGAUACCCUGGUAGUCCGCACCGUAAACGAUGAUCACUCGUUGUUGGCGAUAUACAGUCAGCGACUAAGCGAAAGCAUUAAGUGAUCCACCUGGGAAGUACGACCGCAAGGUUGAAACUCAAAGGAAUUGACGGGGGCCCGCACAAGCGGAGGAGCAUGUGGUUUAAUUCGAUGGUACGCGAGGAACCUUACCUGGGCUUGAAAGACAGUUGACCGUCUCUGAAAGGAGACUUUCGCAAGACAACUGUCUAGGUGCUGCAUGGCUGUCGUCAGCUCGUGCCGUGAGGUGUCGGGUUAAGUCCCAUAACGAGCGCAACCCCUAUUUCUAGUUGCCAUACCUUAAUUGGUGGAACUCUAGAGAAACUGCCAGCGUAAGCUGUGAGGAAGGAGGGGAUGACGUCAAGUCAGCACGGCCCUUACGUCCAGGGCUACACACGUGCUACAAUGGCCGGUACAAUGGGUCGCUACACAGCAAUGUGAUGCUAAUCUCAAAAACCGGUCCCAGUUCGGAUUGAAGUCUGCAAUUCGACUUCAUGAAGCUGGAUUCGCUAGUAAUCGGAUAUCAGCUACGAUCCGGUGAAUACGUUCCCGGGCCUUGUACACACCGCCCGUCAAGCCAUGGAAGUUGGGAGUACCUGAAGUCCCCGAGCAAUCGGAGCCUAGGGUAAAACCAAUGACUGGGGCUAAGUCGUAACAAGGUAGCCGUACCGGAAGGUGCGGCUGGAAUACCUCCUUUUUGGAG